UCAUUCAAACAAGAUUCAAAACCGCAAUCAUUCAAACAAGAUUCAAAACCGCAAUCAUUCAAACAAGAUUCACAACCGCAAUCAUUCAAACAAGAUUCACAAACUUCUAGCAACUCUUCUGACAGUAGUUGCAAUUGUUUCCAAGUUAAAGAAGCAUCUAAAGUGUCUUCCAAGUCAAGUUCCAAUUGUUGCAAUUGGUUCCAUUGCUUUUCUUGUCCUUCUUGUACAUCAUGCAAGCCUUCUUGUUCUGGGUGCAAAUGUUGCUGCUAAGGAAGUGAGUUUUACUACAAAAUUUUUAGAUGCCUCAUUUGUUAAUAGUUACUUCUUUAAGUACUUAGGUUUGAACAGAUGCAAAUGGACAUAACUUGUAUAAACCUUAUAACUUCAUAUGAGGGCUAGACACAUGAUAUUUACCAGUCAUGUGACUAUGCUCUAAAACCUUUAACACCUUGUAAAUUCUGCAACUAGUUGUGCUAGUUUUAUCCAACCAACCUUUUCAUAAUUGUACACAAAUUCAAUUAUUGAUGGACAUUAGAA
This 537-nucleotide long non-coding RNA is filed under the name Lupinus mutabilis. RNAcentral describes it as "partial ncRNA". Lineage: Eukaryota; Viridiplantae; Streptophyta; Magnoliopsida; Fabales; Fabaceae. The record is from RNAcentral.